UACGGGGGGAGCAAGCGUUGUUCGGAUUUACUGGGCGUAAAGGGCGCGUAGGCGGUCGUGACAAGUCACUUGUGAAAUCUCCGGGCUUAACCCGGAAAGGUCAAGUGAUACUGUCGGACUAGAGUACGGAAGGGGCAACUGGAAUUCUCGGUGUAGCGGUGAAAUGCGUAGAUAUCGAGAGGAACACCUGCGGCGAAGGCGGGUUGCUGGGCUGAUACUGACGCUGAGGCGCGAAAGCUAGGGGAGCGAACGGG
RNAcentral lists this ribosomal RNA (254 nucleotides) under uncultured bacterium. RNAcentral describes it as "partial 16S ribosomal RNA". It matches the Rfam family "Bacterial small subunit ribosomal RNA", at positions 524 to 776 of the family's 1533-position model. The record is from RNAcentral.